GGCGCACACACACUUUUCAGGAGAGAAAGACGUGUGCAGAGAGACAGGAGUCCGACGGAGAGAGAGAGAGAGAGCGAGCGAGAGAGAGAAAGGAGAUCCCAGUGGAGCAGAUGUCAAAGAAGGAUACCAGUAUCACAUAUCGGUUAGAUGACCAAGGCAGGGCACACAUGACAUGACAGCUAAAGCUCGGAUCGCGAGGAUAUUGCAGGGCGGAUUCAAUGGACAACACCUGUGCACUGAUUUUCUUUACCAUCUACAACUUGACCACCCAGUCGGGAUUCAUGCAAAUUGAGCAAGGUCCCACUGUUCACCGAGUCCAAGGAUGAGAUGAGGAGAAGGCCAUCACUUGUAGUCGGAACCACUCAAAACGGUGCAUACUUCUGCCAUGACAAUAAAAGGAAAAGGAAAUCAAUUUUGGCUGUGAUUGGCAGGGCUCAUUAGAGAACAACCAAGUUUGAGGACCUGUAUGGGUUUCCAUUUGCAAGCGUGUUGGAAUACAGUGACAUUAAUGGAGGUGGAGGGAAACGAACACAUCAGGACAGCGGGGGCAAAGAAGCAGCUGUGAAGAGCCUGGAAGGUCCCCCCUUCACUUCGCCUCUCACCUGUGUCACCGCUGCCCGCCGGCACCAUCAAAGGUGCAUCAGACGUCUACUUUGGCACCUUCUUACCUGUGGCGUAGUGCUAUUCCUUGCCGGCUAACGCACCUCCACCAUCACCCUCCCCUCAUCCCUCCAGCUCCUCAAGGCAUCUGUCACUCACUUGUCAUUUUUUUCAUCAGCUCCUGUUUUCCCCUUUGAUUUCUCAGCGAAGGUGGGAAAGAAACCAUCCGAGCGAAAAUGGUGACCAUGAUGUCCUUGUUCCAGGUUUGGCAGCUGCAACAGAUGACGCAUCAUAGCCAUCUCGUACUAAAACAGAUUAUUCAAAACGUUAGAAAAAAUGUUAGUUUUCACCUUUAACAGAAGCAUGUUUUGUAUGUAUUGUCUAUAUGGCAUGCCAUAAUGUUAAAGGUAAAAGUUAUUUGCAUUUGUAUUCUGUAGAUGUCUUGUCAGCUGUCAGUGGACUUCUAAUGUUUUAGCCCAUUUUAGUCCCAGAGUUGCUCUACCAGUUUGCGCUUACUGUUUCACAACAUUUAUUUAAUCUGAAAUGUCAUCUGUAACCAACUACUGAGCAGCGUCAUCUUUACUGUUGACACCCAUAGGCUUUCUGUCAGGGACCAUCGAAUGAAGAGGUUACUUUGGUGUAAAUAUUUUUAGAAUAAUAACUGUGCCACUUUGCUAUUUUUUUUACAUAAAGGGUUCAUUUUGAUCUGGCCUUUGUUACACUAGUCAUUUAAAUCAUUUUAAAACAUGAUAAAGACAACUACUUUCAAUACCAGCUUAAUAAAUACAAUAAUAAAUGUCUUGAUCAGAUCUUGCAGUGACGUUUUACCAAAGUUACACAAAACACUGAAACCUAAACAAAAUAGGAAGUCAAGCUUAACCUCAAGUACAAAAAUAUAAAACCGCAGUAUUGAGUGUUCGACUUUGCUUUGUAUUGUUUGAUGAAAUAAAAACCAAAGAUCAUCACCUGGACAUGUUAUAUUUAUAGAGAUUUUGAGUAUGUUGUUCAUUCACUUUUGGGAGGUUUUUGUCUAAUUUGCAAAUGGGGUUUAUUGAAAUUGUUUGAUUUUAGUGAUCUUUUAUUGUUUUAAUUGUCCCUCAGCUGGCUUUUUUCUCCUUGUGUUUUUAUUUAUAUAAAAUUACACUUUAUAGCUUGUUUUAAAGGCACUGAGCAUAUCACAUUCAGUUUCCCAUACCUGCUGUCCAAAUAUUCUAAAUACAUUCACCCUAACAUGUCCUUCUCACUCCCAUCCAAGGUGUAAGCAAACACCUAAUUGUCUGACAUUUGUGGGUAGCCUCAGGGUCUGUGACUUGCCUUUCUUCAAGUUGUGUGGAAAAGGAUCAAAGCUGUGCUAACUUAGGGGUUAAAAACAUCAUCAGCAACAAAUUUGCUUUCACUAAGCCAAAACUACACAAGUCAAUUUUAAACUACCUACAGCAUUGCUCAAAUUCCUCUCCUAGAUCUGUGUAAGAAAAGACCCCACAGGUACAUUCAUGACUGAGAGGAUGUGCUGAAAACUAAUAUUUCUUCAGGCAAAGGGGAGGAGGGGAUUUAACUAAAUGUUUUUCUUCUUUUCUGCAGAAAAAAAAAAUAUUCUUUUUGUAUACCACUGCCUAUGUCUAAUGAGUGGAGCAAUUUCAGCAAAGAGUAAGAUAUCUGAGUACUAUUAUUCUUUAAAUAACAGCCAACACAGCUCUUUCGACUUGCUGGGCCGAGGCAGUAAAUCCACCCUGCUGACAGCACAGCGAUUAUAUUUAACAUUUCCACUCAAGAUGCACGCACAUGCAAGGAAGAAAGAAAAUAAAAUAGAUAGAAUAAAGGAGCCGUUGGCUGUGACCCAAACUCUGGCCAUAUCAGUUAGGCAUUGCUGCCACGUGGCAUAUGGUACAAGACAAACUGUCAGCUUUUUUCUCUCCUGUCUGUGCCUGCUAAGAGAUGACAGGAGCAAGAGCACGUUUGUGUCCCGGCAGCAGGCAUCAUGCAGGCUUAGCAGUGAUUUGGGGGGAAAAGGGGAGAAAGGCAGCGCAUCUUGCUGUGGCGACUAUGCAAUGUGUCUGCAUGGAUGGGUGUUGGGGAAGGGAGGGAAGAGGGGUUCAGAGUAGCUGCGGGGGACAGCACGGUGCCUGCGAUUGUGAGGAAACUGCAAAUUGAUCAAAUUGUGGAGGCAAGACUUUGGGCCUAUUAUCUGGGUCAUGUCAAUGUCUCUCUGGUCUCCAGUUGGUCACAGAGGCCAGUAAAAUGUGCAUGUUUUUUUUAAAGAUGCUAAGCUUAAAGAGUUGUUACAGAAUGUUAUCUGCUUGGCUGUCUAGUCAAAUCUGCAUGGACAUGUUGUGUACACUCCACCACUGCCACAAAUAUAUCCAACAAACACCAAACACAGUCUCCAUUAGCACCUAAGUGACACUUUUCAGAAAUUUGUUUUCCAGUUGAAUUUAAGGUCAAAUCCUGUAGCUCAUCAUUGCUUACCCAUCACUAAACACUAUUGUAACUUAUAAAUUUUUUUUGCCCAGUUCUCAUUGUAGUCUUGGAAACCAGUUUGACGAUGCAUUACCGUUUUCGGAUAUGCAAUCCGACAUCCACGAGUCACGCUGUUCCGCUAUCAGCAGUGAUCAUGGAGCCAAGCCUCUAUCAAAGCUGACUUCAACAGAGCAUAUUGUGGCUAUUAGCCUAGCAUUGUGUAUGAUCUCCAUCUUGUCUUGUUGCUGAGGGUGCUGUCCUAUGCAGUUUAGGAACACAAGCAUGAGAGAGGGCGCCGUCAUCUCUUGUCACCAUGCUUUUGUCAUUCCCUAGAGUUUCAGUAGGUCCCUGCGGUCCCUGUCACUCUUUCUGGCUGCAAACAGCUGGUUACCAAUUGGCAUUCUUCAAACUAUGGAAACGAGUCCAAGGUUUGUGAUGGUUAGAAAUCAAAUUCUGGAAUUCGUUUAUUUUUAUUUUUAUCAUCAAGGUACAUAUAUAAAGGGGGGCAGUAUCUGUGUUCCUUAGUGUGACACUUUAAUACAGUCUAAUUUCAAACAGGUUUGCCCUGAGCAGCUCCUGAGUACAGGAACAGAACAACCCAAUUCCUUGUAAAUCAGCAGUGCUGAUAUUAGCUGUUGAAGGCUAAAUGGCCAUUAUGAAUCCUCAACACUCUGACAUGUUGUGACCUGCCUCCUCUGGUGAGGUAUGCGGCACUGUGUGUGGGAAACACGUACACACAUAUAGAUUUGUCGAUGCUCGCUGCUCUGUGUGUGGGCUGUGUUUGCCACCACUUAGUGACAGGUCAGACUCCCAGAGUGUGAUCAAACAGCAGCCACAAGUCUCCAGAGUUCCCACAACACUCCGCCUGGUGGAGAGUGGACAAUAAAAACAAGAGUGGUGGGCUUUCAUCACAAGCUUUAUCAGAGCCUGGCCAAGUCUGACUCAUUUGCUGGCCCAACUUUGUAAAGGUUGGCUGAAAAAUGUAAACUAAAUCUAGCCAUGCCUUGUGAAUGUCUCUGAAUAGCAUACACACUGGAGCAAUACAUGUUUUAUGCUGCCUUGGGCCUUUACUGCACUGGUAUGAACAUUUGUUAAACUGAUUUUGGUUUUCAAAAAGUCAGCGAUGAUUCCAGUCAAAUACCAAUGCUCAACCUGUAGGAGUAUAAUCAAUAACCUCAUCAAAGCCCAGAAGAAGAUUCAGAGCACAGAAACAACAAUGGCAGGCUAACGAGAUUCUGAAAAAUAACCGUAGCUCAUAUGUUUCAUUUGAUUUCAUUGUUUCAUUUGAUUUCAUUGUAAGUGAGUUCUUAUUCAUACAAUAUUUUAAGCUACAUUGGAAGCUGAAUACCAUCAUUUAAGUUGUGGGGAAAGAACCGAUUAAUAUCUUUCUUGGAUGUUAUGUUUCUACAACAAAAAACAAUAGUAGUCAUGAAUGAAGUGCGCCUUGGCUUUUGUUAAAACCCUAAAGUAUUUUUUAAAAUUCUAUUUUUUACUCCCAAAAGCUAAAAAUUAUAAGUUUGUAUAAGAAUAAUCUCAAUUUUACUAUGUGUCUAUGUUGGUGUAAACACAGUCUCAAUGAAUAAGUAAAUAAAAUAUACAUAUCUUGUAUUGA
Molecule: long non-coding RNA, 4669 nt
Organism: Xiphophorus couchianus (Monterrey platyfish)
Lineage: Eukaryota; Metazoa; Chordata; Actinopteri; Cyprinodontiformes; Poeciliidae
Exons: 5
Source: RefSeq, a predicted model, not a curated record